GAAACUUAGUACAAUCGCAGACAUGGUCGCGUAAAGUGCUCCAAGGAAGGCAGUCGUUAAAUAAACCAUAAAACAAGCAGUCAGCCAUGGAAAACAAAUAAAGCCCACCCACAAAAUAUAAGCUUAUGGCGGGGGAAAAAAAAUAGAGGAGGAAAUGCGAAAAAUAUCCCCAAACUGCUGAGAAACCACAGGCAUGACAAACAUUAACACGGACUCUGACGCAAUUUAACACCAAUUACAAUAUCCGUUACAUCUAAUUAUUGUAAGAGGCCCACAAGGAAGCCACUGGCUAGUCGUUCUGCGGACUAAAUUAAAGAAAAACACCGCUGCCAGGACAUGGGUGGCGCCUUUUGCGGUUGUUAGGACAUUAACAAUGGAAACUUCAGUUCGGCAAAAGGAAAAACACGAAGCAAAAAGACCAGAAGCAGCAAAUGGCGGCUAUAAAACAACAGAGAACAGAACCCAUGAAAUAUGAGCAGGAAGCUCAAGGAAAAAAACACAAUUGUGGGGUGGCUGGGGCGAGCAUUUCUUAAUUUCCAACAAUUUACGCUGAAAGCUUUCAGCGCUCAAAUGACGCACAGACGGCUGCAGGACUCCAGUGUCCUGUUCUUUUUUUUUUUAUAUAUUUUGUGUGUUCCUGGCCAAGGCGACGAUGAUGAUCUAACGCCAUUAUUUCCCCGCCAAACGACAGGCAGUUGUUAAUGGGGCUUACCACUUAAGCGCGACGGCAUAAAAUAAACACGCGGUCUGCUCUACCGCCCUCUUCCACGGACACGGCCACGCCCCCCUCCAAGCCACCCACCGCCCAACUGCGGAUGUCCUGGCAAAUUAAUUAACAUGACGGCCAGUCACUGGCAGCAUAUUUCACACUC
Molecule: non-coding RNA, 872 nt
Organism: Drosophila melanogaster (fruit fly)
Lineage: Eukaryota; Metazoa; Arthropoda; Insecta; Diptera; Drosophilidae
Source: Ensembl